UCGUUUUCAUCAUCUCCUUUUCUAGCCAGAACAAAAUCUAACUUCACCCAAAAAAACAAAAACAAAAUAUCAAGCCAUAACCAGAAUACAAAAACAAAAUUUUCCAUGAAUCCAAAUCGAAUCUUUGCCUCUCAAACACUGCGAAUCCGCUUGAAACUGUGAAGAAAAAGGAACUUGGUUCUCCAUUUAACCAUGAAAGAAAGCUUUUUGAGUAUAUACAGUAGGUUUUGAGAGCUGCCCUGAUCAUGCACCGACCUCUGGACGAAGAAUUGCUCCUGACAAAUUGGAGUAUUCUUGAACUCUUACAACCUCAAAUGGUCAUGAAGUUUCGUGGCACAGCGCAGAAUCAAUUACCAGGUCCAUACGGAUGCAAACUGUUGAUGCACUGCGCUUGGGUGAGAGAGGCAAAGCUUCCAGUCUGCUUUUGAAUCUUGGCCGUGGGAAUGAUUCGUUAAGAGCUGAUGACUUCGUCUAUAUUCUUAAUUACUGUGCAAAGUCACCUGAUCCAUUGUUUGUCAUGAAGACUUGGAGAAUAAUGGAUGAAAAAGAGAUUAGCCUGAAUAACAUAUGCUCUUUGCUUAUUGUACAUGCUCUAUGUAAAGGAGGAUAUUUGGAGGAAGUAGGAUUCAUGCUAUAUACUCAAAAGGUAUUAUCUAGCUAGCUUAGUCAGCUGAUAAUAGUGAAACUACCUUGUUAGGAUUACUGUUGUUUACACCAUAAUCAAUCGAGCAAAUCCAGC
This is a non-coding RNA of Prunus mume (Japanese apricot), 739 nucleotides long. NCBI's taxonomy places the organism in Eukaryota, Viridiplantae, Streptophyta, Magnoliopsida, Rosales, Rosaceae. The record is from RefSeq and is a predicted model, not a curated record.